Pseudophryne corroboree (corroboree frog) is the source of this 3953-nucleotide long non-coding RNA. RefSeq lists it as uncharacterized. The record is from RefSeq and is a predicted model, not a curated record. NCBI's taxonomy places the organism in Eukaryota, Metazoa, Chordata, Amphibia, Anura, Myobatrachidae. The transcript has 3 exons.
UCGGAGGGAGGAGGAGGCAGGACGUGUCUGCUAGGGGCUCCCGCUAUCAUAGCAGGGGCUACCCUCGGCCUCUCACUGUCACAUCGCCGGGAACCAAUCCAGGUGGCAAGUGAUGACUCUGGGGAUGAGCCAGAGAGGCAAGCCAGUGAGGUGACAGUGGUGCACACCGAGAAAGAAGCAAACAGUGUGGCAGUGGAUGGAGCCAUUCCUAAAGGUGACAGCAGAGGUGCUAAGAGAAAACCAUGGACCCCAGCGGAAGUCAGAGCCGUUGAAAGACACAUGAUGCGGUUCAUCCACUCCUGCAAGGUUCCGGGCAAGAAGGAUUGUGAUGCGUGCCUACGGGCUGAAACCCAAGCACUGAAGGCUCUGAACUGUCUUUCAAUUAAAUUCUACAUAAAGAACAGAAUAACUGCGAUAAAGAGAAAGAACAUGAACUAAAUAAAUAACUAAUAAAUAAGUAAACAAACACAUGCAUCCAUACACAAAUAAAUAAAUGAAUAAAUAAAUCAAUACAUAAUAAAAUGUGGGUGCCAUUGCACCCGUUGGCCACCUGGGGGGAGGGUGUCACACAUAAAUUGAUCCAUAUAUUAUGUCCCCAUGGUCCCCUCCCAGGCCACGCAUGCCCGCACCCUCUGUCCCCUUGCACAGGCUACAGGCUGGGCCCUUCCAGGGGUAAGGGAAAUGGUGUCCCCAUGAGGGAUGUUCCAUACAUGGGUCCCGAUGAGGUCACAAAAACAAGUAUGUGUGUGUGUGUGUGUGUUUACUAUCUCACAUAGCCAUGUCUGUGUCAUAUGCUGCAGAAGAUGUUUCCUCUCAGGAGGGAUCCAUUCCAUGUACACAGGAUUGUAAUGCUUUGUCUCAGAUCCCUAUUGUUGAAGCUAAUACUGAGGCUGAAACUCAGGUGUUGAAGAAGUCUAUGGCAGUUUGGUCGGGCUCUGUCCCUAUUCCUGCAAAAUCCCCUAGCAUGUUCCCACAGAAAUGUGCACUUGCCCAAAUUAUGCAAGAUGACACGGAUGCCGAUUCUGAUACUUCAGACGGUGAUGGGUACGUGCUGAGGGGGGCGGCAUCCCUUGCAAUGGGGGUGCAGCUCAUGAUUGAGGCCAUUAGAGAUGUGUUAAACAUUAAUGACACUACACCUGAACAGGUUGAGGAGGCUUACUUCACUGAUAAUAAGAAAGCACCGCUAACCUUUCCAGCGUCUAACGAAUUAAACGCUAUAUUUGAAAACUCCUGGGAAAACCCAGAGAAAAAAUUCCAGAUCCCAAAAAGAGUUCUGGUUGCUUUUCCCUUCCCUGAGGAAGAUAGGAAAAAAUGGGAAAACCCACCAAUUGUUAAUGCCUCUGUCUCCAGACUGUCUAAGAAAUUGGUUUUACCUGUCCCUGGUUCUACCGCGUUGAAAGAACCGGCUGAUCGUAAGAUUGACACUACGCUCAAAUCCAUAUACACUGCUUCAGGAGUGGCCUUAAGGCCCACUAUUGCCUGUGCAUGGAUUUCUAAAGCCAUAGUAAAGUGGUCAGGCACAUUACUAGAGGAUUUGGAUGCAAUGGAUAGAAGUGACAUUGAAUUGUUUUUUUACAUAACAUACAGGAUUCUGCGGGGUUCAUGGUGGAAUCCAUGAAAGACCUGGGUACGCUGACUGCACGGAUAUCCUCCAUGUCGGAAUCCGCUCGCAGGGGACUCUGGCUAUGCCAGUUGUCUGCAGACGCGGAAUCCAGGAGAAGUGUGGAGAACCUACCCUACACAGGUCAGGCUCUAUUUGGGGAAGCGUUGGAUGCGUGGAUUUCCAUGGCAACCGCGGGUAAGUCACCUUUCCUUCCCUCUGCUACUCCUUCUACGAAGAAACUGUUUUCUUCAGCUAUGCAGCAGUACUUAUGGACCGCUAAGACAAGAAAGCACAAGCCUUCUACCACUUUCUUUAGAGGUGGGCGGGUAAAAUCCAAAAAGCUUGCACCCGCAGGCUCCCAGGACAAGAGACCUGCUUCUGGUUCCUCAAAAUCCUCAGCAUGACGGUGGACCUCAAAGCCUGGAGGACGGGCUGGUGGGUGCGAGACUCAGACGUUUCAGUCACGUCUGGGUGUCAUCCAGCCUGGAUCCCUGGGUACAGGAUAUUGUGUCCCGGGGUACAGACUGGAGUAUCAAGAACUCCCGCCUCACCGAUUCUUCAAAUCAGGCUUGACAGCUUUGCUGACAGGCAGGGCUAUCCUACAGGAAGCCAUCCUAAAAUUGGAAAAAUCACAGGUCAUUGUCCCAGUUCUACCUCAUAGGCAAAACAAGGGUUAUUAUUCAAACCUUUUCGUGGUACCGAAACCGGAUGGUUCGGUCAGACCAAUUUUGAACUUGAAAUCCUUGAACCCUUAUCUGACGGUGUUCAAAUUCAAGAUGGAGUCUCUCAGAGCAGUGAUUUCAUGUCUGGAGGAGGGAGAGUUUCUGGUAUCCCUGGAUAUCAAGGAUGCGUACCUCCACAUUCCGAUUUGGUUGCCUCACAGGCUUAUCUCAGAUUUGCACUGUUGGACAGUCACUAUCAAUUCCAGGCACUACCAUUCGGCCUCUCCACAGCACCGAGGGUGUUCACCAAGGUGAUGGCAGAGAUGAUGGUUCUCUUCCGCAAACAGGGGGUGAACAAAAUCCCAUAUCUGGACUAUCUGCUGAUAAAGGCAUCGUCCAGGGAGAGGUUGUUGCAGUCCAUUGUUCUUAUGACUCAUCUGCUCAGGGAACACGGUUGGAUAUUGAAUUUUCCAAAAUCACAUUUGGAGCUGACCAGGAGGUUGUCUUUUUCUGGGAAUGAUCCUCGACACAGAAGUGCAGAGGGUGUUUCUUCCGGGGGAAAAAGCGUUGGUGAUACAAACAAUGGUCCGGGAUGUCCUGAAGCCAGCCCGGGUUUCGGUUCAUCAGUGCAUUCGCCUUCUGGGGAAGACGGUGGCCUCUUACGAGGCUCUACAGUAUGGAAGGUUUCAUGCUCUGCCCUUCCAACUGGAUCUCCUGGACAAGUGGUCGGGAUCUCAUCUACACAUGCACCAGAGAAUACGUCUGACGCCAAAAGCCAGGAUUUCACUCCUCUGGUGGCUACAACUAGUUCACCUUCUGGAGGGCCGCAAGUUCAGGAUUCAGGACUGGAUUCUUCUAACCACGGAUGCAAGUCUCUGGGGCUGGGGCGCAGUCACUCAGGGGGAAACCUUCCAAGGAAGGUGGUCAAACCUGGAAUCCAGCCUGCCAAUAAACAUUUGGGAACUAAGAGCCGUCUACAACGGUCUUUUCCAAGCGGCCCAUCUUCUGCAAGAUCGAGCCAUUCAAGUGCAGUCAGACAAUGUAACGACAGUGGCGUACAUAAAACGACAGGGCAGAAAUAACAAGAAUCAUCCUCUGGGCAGAAAAACACGCGUUGGCGCUGUCAGCAAUCUUCAUUCCGGGAGUAGACAACUGUGAAGCGGACUUCCUCAGCAGACACGAUCUCCAUCCAGGAGAGUGGGGACUCCUUCCGGAGGUGUUCACGGAGGUAACAGAUCUUUGGGGUGUACCUCAAAUAGACAUGAUGGCCUCUCGUCUCAACAAGAAGCUUCGGCGGUAUUGUUCCAGGUCAAGUGACCCGCAAGACGUGGCGGUGGACGCCCUAGUGACUCCGUGGGUGUUCCAGUCAGUGUACAUGUUUCCUCCACUUCCACUCAUUCCAAGAGUUCUAAAACUCAUAAGGAGAACGAGAGUUCAGGCGAUCCUCAUUGCUCCGGACUGGCCAAGAAGGGCUUGGUACGCGGAUCUUCUGGAUCUACUGCUAGAAGAGCCGAGGCCUAUUACUCUUCGGGAGGACCUGCUGCAGCAGGGGCCAUUCACUUAUCAAGACUUACCGCAGGCAUGGAGGUUGAACGCCAGAUAUUAGCUCGGAAGGGCAUUCCGAACAAGGGCCCUCAUUCCGAGUUGUUCGCUCGCAAGCUGCUUUUAGCAGCUUUACACACGCUAAG